AAGAAAGGAAAUCGCAGCCAUACGGGCUGUGCUCCCCCAGCUGAACUGUCUCUGCAUUUUAGCGGUGGGAGAAAAGACGCUAUAUGGUGAUGUGCUCCUCCCUCCACCCUGCCAACCUCAUCUGUCAGCCAUUAGUUAAUCAGGGCUGGUAAAACAGAGCACAGGAGAGAGCUGGCACAGCUCGUGGGACCAGAGGACAGCUUCACCUCUGAGAGCAAGAAGAGGGCAAGGACUCAGGGACCUCUGCUUCACCAAUCUACAGCUGGGCUGCUUCACUCACCAGCACCCACUCAGGACUGGCAGGCGUCAACCUCAAGAUGACCCCACCCACUGCUUUACUGUGAACAGAUUUAAAUUGAAGCCAUGACAAGAACCGUGCUUGUGAGGACCAGGGGGACCUUCCAGCCACCGCUUCUAUUGCUCACACUGGGCUGGCAUAUGUGCAGGAUCAGGAAACACAAGCCCAAUAAUGUCCCAAACAUCUGACCCCAGGGUGACAGGUUUGGAGACUGUUCUCGCCCACUGCCCUCAGGCCAAAGUCAAGUAUGUCAAUGAUGUGCAUGUGGAUUUCAUUUUAAGCAACAUGAUUAGUUCACAGACGCUCAAUUGCCAUCCCCCCUCCAUGGGAACCCCACUCUUGACAGGAAACGGUAUGUUUUUGUUAGGAACAAACAGGCAUAAAUUACUAAAAUGGUUCCUUGGUUGCCAAUUUAUCACACACAGCCUUAUUGUUUCUGCCUGCACACACUGACUUUGACAUUGCUUUUAAGGUAAUUACCAUUAGUUAAUGAUAUUUACAUUCCUAAUAGUUUAUGUUGAACUGUGUCUGCAAUCAUAAAUUUGUGCAAUAAAUGUGAUGAUUGUGUUGUGUCUUUUCUUCUAUAUAUGACAAAUAUGUUUUGAUGACCUGUAUUUGGAAAAUAAAUAUCGCUUUUGGUAAUCAUUAAUUAAUUUUGAAGCUGUCACUGCAAGAUUAGAAAUGAUUAUAGGUCUAAGGUGAAUGGAGGCCGAUUAUUUUGUAGAAACAAACUAAAGCAGCAAAUGAAAUGACAUUUGAAAAAUAGUUUUGGACAUAAUUGUCCUUCUGUUAUAUAAUGCCAGCAUAAAAGAUUACUCGUUGAUCAAAUUUUUAUCAGAAAGCAGUGCAGAUUUGUAAAUAAUGUCAAGAGGGUAGUAUACCAUCAUUAAUAAAAGCCAUUUCCCUGUCAGAAAGUUCUAGAUAGUAAUGGCUUGGCUAAAAUGUAAUGGUAUCUGUGGAAUAAUAAGUGUAUUAACUACUUCCCCAAGAAGGGGAUAUAUUUAUUUAUAUUAUAUAAGUAUAUAUUUGAUAUAUUGAAAAAACUACCAGGAUUUUUUUGUAGAGCUACUGCUACAAACUAAUGUGACCAAUAUUUAGCAUAGAAUACUUUGGGGAUGCUACCAACGGAAGAGGCCAUUAAAUAAGGUAAGACGCACUCUGAAGCCAUGAGAAAUAUGUUGACAAUGUUACGUAAUACAAGAACCCCUUAACCAUUUUAUUACCCUUUGUCCUCUAAAAGACCAUGAGCAAGUUUUGCCAUUUCACUGAGACAAUGUUUAAUGUUUGGUUCUAUGAAAUUAUUAAAAUGUUUUAAAAAAAUGGUGUGACAGCUUCUUGUAAUAAAUGAUAAAAGGCACAUGUAUAAAGGUAAUUUGAUAACCAAUGUUACCCUUUGAUUUAAGUCUAAAGAUUUUAGUUGUAUCACAUGCAUGCUUCACUGUUGCCUUAUAUAGAGCCAUAUUAAAUAUAUGCUUCACUGCAGUUGGUUAAUUAGAGGUUUCCUACAAUAGAAUGUACUGAUAUUGUCUAUUAUGAAUUGCAUGAAGCCUAUGGUAAACUAUGUACUUGAAUAACUACAUAAUUUGAAUACACUGUCAGAUAAUACUUCUCAUACAGGUGCUUUAAAAAGCUAUUUCAAUGUGUGUUUCCUUUUAAAGAAUGACCUCAAAACAAUAUCAAAUACAUAAUUCAAUCAGCAGUUUUAAAUAUUGGCUUUCCGUGGCUUUCUUUUGGAUCUCCUCAACUAAACAAACCUUGCCAGAAUGCAUUAAUAUCAAUUAUUGUUGUAGCAAAAGUAAUACUCUGUAGGUCUCCUGCCAAAUGCAUUACAGAGAGCUCCAUUAAUGCAAUGGUAAACAGAUGUGCCACCCAGCACCAAAGAUUUGAUUUGGACUGUGUAUAUUUUCUCCAGGAACAUUACAAAAUAAAUUGUUAAAAAAAACAUAAAAGGAAAAGGCCUGCAGGGUUUUUACACUACAUUAUGCAGAGGCAUGUAUUAAAUAAGGAUUACUGAAAAAAGCUUAUAAAGAAUGAAGUCAAAUGAAGGUCAAAUACCACGAAAUCACCUACAAGUCAAGUCUUUUCUAUGAACCAUUCAUAGUACCUCUGCUACACAUUAUAUACUGCUGGUUGUAUUGCAUGUCCAUGGUAUAGCAAAGCCUGUACGUGUCUAAAAAGGGUUUUAAACUACUAUAUAUGAUAGAAUAACUACUGUGUCAACAACUGUUAAAGCAAUAAACUAUAUUCCAAGUGUUA
This is a long non-coding RNA of Etheostoma spectabile (orangethroat darter), 2554 nucleotides long. RefSeq lists it as uncharacterized. NCBI's taxonomy places the organism in Eukaryota, Metazoa, Chordata, Actinopteri, Perciformes, Percidae. The transcript has 3 exons. The record is from RefSeq and is a predicted model, not a curated record.